Molecule: long non-coding RNA, 1158 nt
Filed under: Homo sapiens (human)
Lineage: Eukaryota; Metazoa; Chordata; Mammalia; Primates; Hominidae
Description: long intergenic non-protein coding RNA 1980
Source: RNAcentral
ACUUGGGUUCAUCUUCAUGAGGUGUAAUGGCGCCGGGAUGCGCUCUCCUCUUCUCAUUUGCCAAUUUAUUGCAGAUCCCUCCUCAAAAAAGUUUUGGGACUAACUCAGCCCCAUGGAGAUCAAGGUGAAUUAGAAAAACAACAAAACAAAACAAGAUUCAUUUUAACAUCUCAUUUUUCUAUCUCCAACUUUCCCUCCCCUCCUCCCACCCCAGGAAGAAAAGACUACGUUUGUUUCUGGUGAUACAUUCAUUGUAGGUGGGUGGGUGACUUCUAGAAGAGGAAAAUCAAGAAGAUUUGGAGAAGGAGUCUUGGAAGCUCUGGUGAAGUUUUCCAAAACUGGGAAGGACAGAGUCUGCUCAGCCUGUGUUAGUGGAGAAGAGGGAAGGAAACUGGCUGGAGGCCGCUGGACCCACAGAGGACAAUAGACAAUCUCCUGCUAAAUGACAAACCAGUAUCUUGAGUAAAAUAAUGACUUGGACUGUAAGAAAUUAAUUAGAAAACAUCUGUGCAAUGUAGUGGAAGAAAAAGAAAAUGAGACCCAGAAGACCCAAAUCACAAAUCAAAAGGACCUCACAGAAGAUUCUACAAUUGAGAUUAUUUAUCCUGGGAUGCCCACUGGAUCCAAAGAGAGAAACUCUAUAGAAUUAUGAUCUAGGUUUGACUGACUCCUGGCAAGAAGCCCUACCCGCCAGCCAAUUUGGAUGAGGAACACAGAAUCACUUGUGGAAUUAAGAGAUAAGGACAGCAAGUAGACCAAACUAUAAGCUGAGGUUCAAGGUGGCAUAGGCUGGGUGCCACAGUGCUGUGUCUCAGGUGGGCUAGAAGUGCGAAACGGACAGUACCAGAAGGAAAACUUGAGGGUCACAGGGGUCAUCCAUCUUUCCUUCUAUGUGACUGGUUUGCUCUUGCAUAUCAUGUUUUCCGCUCUUAUGCUCCAGAUCCAUCAUGAGAAGAACAUGCCCUGGAUUCCUGCUAUCCCUUUAGCCAUGGCUCCAAAAUUAACACACACAAGGAAGACCUGAGGUCAAUCCACAGCCUGGAUUCAAGUCACCUAAUACAUAGGAGAAUCAGAGCUACCCAGCCACACUCAAUCUACGUUAACUGAACCUCAGCUGACCUGCAGAUUUAUGAGUAUGAGAAUAAAGGCUUGUUAAUG